This 463-nucleotide ribosomal RNA is filed under the name uncultured bacterium. Its description in RNAcentral is "partial 16S ribosomal RNA". It matches the Rfam family "Bacterial small subunit ribosomal RNA", at positions 28 to 507 of the family's 1533-position model. The record is from RNAcentral.
GACGAACGCUGGCGGCGUGCCUAACACAUGCAAGUCGAACGGAAAGGCCUUUUCGGAGGUACUCGAGUGGCGAACGGGUGAGUAACACGUUGGUGAUCUGCCCUGCACUCUGGGAUAAGCCUGGGAACCUGGGUCUAAUACCGGAUAGGACCGCAUCGCAGUGUGAGUGGCGGAAAGUGUUUUCGGUGUGGGGUGAGCCCGAGGCCUAUCAGCUCGUUGGUGGGGUAAUGGCCUACCAAGCCGGCGACGGGUAGCCGGACUGAGAGGUUGGUCGGCCACAUUGGGACUGGGGUACGGGCCAGGCUCCGACGGGAAGGGGCGGUGGGGAAGAUGGCGAGAGGAGCACAGGCCUGAUGCAGCGACGCCGCGGGGGGGAUGGCGGCCUUGGGGUUGUGAACGCCUUUCGCCAUGGGCGGAGCGUUUAGUGACGGUACCUGGAGAAGAAGCCCCGGCUAACUACGUG